CAAUAGCGUAUAUUAAAGUUGUUGCGGUUAAAAAGCUCGUAGUUGGAUUUCUGUAUUCGGAGACCGGUCCACUCACUGAGUAGGUAUCAGGAUCUCGGUGUACAUCUAUCCUAGUUUCCGUAUAUGCACUUAAUUGUGUGGUGCGAAUCCUAGGUCGUUUACUUUGAGGAAAUUAGAGUGUUUCAAGCAGGCAUACGCCUUGAAUACAUUAGCAUGGAAUAAUAAAAUAUGACUUUUGUCCUUAUUUUGUUGGUUUCUUGGGCUGAAGUAAUGAUAAAUAGGAACAGUCGGGGGCGAUUCGUAUUUAGCUGUCAGAGGUGAAAUUCUUGGAUUUGCUAAAGACGAACUACUGCGAAAGCAUUUGCCAAGGAUGUUUUCAUUGAUCAAGAACGAAAGUUAGGGAUCGAAGACGAUCAGAUACCGU
RNAcentral lists this ribosomal RNA (424 nucleotides) under uncultured eukaryote. Its description in RNAcentral is "bacterial SSU rRNA". It matches the Rfam family "Eukaryotic small subunit ribosomal RNA", at positions 592 to 1018 of the family's 1831-position model. The record is from RNAcentral.